Molecule: long non-coding RNA, 6370 nt
Organism: Hypanus sabinus (Atlantic stingray)
Lineage: Eukaryota; Metazoa; Chordata; Chondrichthyes; Myliobatiformes; Dasyatidae
Exons: 6
Source: RefSeq, a predicted model, not a curated record
ACAAAAACAAAACUCAGUUGCAUGUAGUGACAUAUGCACUCUGAUAAUAACAUUUACUUUAAACUUCUUGAACUUAAUUGUUGAAGAUUACAAACCAGGUGGCCUUUCUGUCACAGUCAUGCAGGACCCUGCUGCACAUUAAGAAUUGAAAGCACUGCAGGUCUACCCCAUCAGCCAGUUACUCGUUGGUGGAGGAGCUGGAUUCAGUACGAAUCGUGCUGCUGCCUGCAUUAGAGAGGCGUCAAUGUGCAAAGGAGGUGUGCAGUCUAACAGGCAUUAGAAGCAAAGGGCAGACUGGAUGGAGACAGAGAAUGAGAGGAAGAUCACACUUUCAGAUUAAAUGGGAGUGUUCCACAGAUGGACAGUUAAUAAGUACACAGUAUAAAGGCCAGUUCAGCACAAGAGACAAGUAGAUUGAGAAAGCACUCCCAGCAACUGUUCUGCCACUCAACAGAGGAAUGCUCAGUGGAUGAGAAUUGGUGCCACUUUGACAGACGGGAAAGCCGUUUGCUCAUCAUCUUCAUUGGAAGCUCAGAAUCCUCAUCUACUGGAAUUAUGUCUUCAGAACAUUGGCAGUGGAAAGAAAAGUAGAGCAGUGGAGUACUUAGGAAAGGAAUUCCAACACUUGGCAAUGGAUGACACUGCCAGCCAUUGGAGAGGCCAGUACUAGAAGAGUACUAAUUUUUCCAGGGAUUGUUUACAAUUACAAACGUAGGGAAGUGGAAGAUCUUGCCUGAGCCUGCAGACUAUUUCCAAUACUUCAUGUUUUUACGACCAGUGAAUAAACUUUUUAAAAGAAAAAAACUCCAUCAAGUGGAAAAACAUCUUGCACUAAGUGAAAAGCUGGACACUGUCUAUGUCUUGUCUACCCUCAAUGCCUUUUGUGCAUUGCAACAUCAGGUCCAUCUAGAAUAGUUCAUGUACAAUGCCUAUCAUUAAUAGGAGUGAAGUCUGGGAAGGAAUCUACAAGGCGUCAAAGACACAGUCCACCUUUAGAUGGUCCCCAGUCUCUCAGACCUGGCAUUGCAUGGGCCCAGUGGAUUUAGGCCUGGCAUUAGAUGGAAUGAUCUAGAAUCCAUUGAGUCUUGAGCCUAUGAUUGAAAGGACCUUGAGAACUCCUGCUCAGAGUGGGUUUGGCAUCAAAGAUUAGUUCUUCCUCGAGAUUGCAAAUGGCACAUGGGUUGCCCUUAGUCAUUAGGCAAACUGCGAAAUGAGAGGAUCUAUUACUUUUUUGGUUGGUUGUCCAGUUGCAGCUGUCAGCAGGAUCCCCUACCCAAUCACCAGGGGAUUUUUUUUUAAUACAAAAGCUAGCAUUGUUGAUCAAUGCCAUGUGAGACAGAUGAUUCUCAGUUAUGGUAUUAAGAAAACCACAUAAUGUGGGUUUGGCAUUAGAAAUGGCAUUAAGGUUAAUAAGACAGUUAAUCACAUUGUAAUUGUAAGAUAGAACAGGUACAAGUGGCCAACUGCACUCCUCUUGCUUCUACCUUUUAAAAGGAAGUACUGUGUAAAAUAGGACUUUUGCCAAUUGUCGGCAGCAUGAAUAGCAUUGACGCAUGAAUAGUACUUGGUGCAAGUUAGUGCAUGAGCAAAUAGAGAUUUGGAUGAGGUUGAGUUUAACAUUAGACUAUAAAAGACAAGGUUGGAUGAGAAACGUCCAGGUUUCUUCCUCCUUCAAACAAAUCUCAGAAGAAAAGGGUACAUGUGCAGACAUGAUUGGCAGUGCAGCCAGGUGCACGCGGUACAUGCAAAUGUAUAAUACUAUUUUGAUCUCCAGGCUAGAGAAUUCAGCACUCAACAGUUGAUUUUCUGUUUUAGGGCAAUGACUAUGUUCCUCUGACUAGAGUUCUUCCCAUUUAUCUUUGGUUAAUGUUCGUACCUGAAGUUACAAGUGAACUCUUACACAGACAUUCAUUGCCUAAGCUCUCUAUUCAUGAUCUUGUAAUAUAAAUCAACCUCCAGCAGUUUUUUUGUAUAUAAGAUCUCUAGGAUGCUAAUCUCAAUGUCACCAUCAUGUCAUGUUGGCUCAGCUGGGACCCAAUCACACUUCUGAGUCACAAUGUCAGGUUCAAAUCCCACUGUAAGCUUUGAAACUGAGGUUCAAUCUCCACAUUGGGCCGAAAGAAGUGUCUUGUUGCCUUCCCUGAAGUGAUCAUGUCAAACACCUGAAUUAACUAAUCAAUAAAUGAAUGAUCACACUAUAUAAAAGAAUGGGCUGUCCUACCUAACAAUGUUGGCGGCAUUACACAGGUGAUUAAUAUGAUACUUUCCUGAAAGCUUUCCAGAGUUGCCACAGGCAUCAAAUAAACGUCGUAGAUUGGAUGAUGCUCAGUUUGGCCUGCGGCACACACUCAGUACUCACACAAGCGCUGUCAAUUCAGUAUGUGGCCCUAUAAAUCCACUGAAGUGAAAGGCCAGGAGGUGAAGUGGUCCACAAGAGUUAACUGGAUCAAGAUGAUCCUGAUGAUUAUCCUAAAACCUUUUCACAGCUUGUAGAGUCAAAGGCUUUUUCAAUUUCUGCUGAAUGCAGUGGCCAAGUAGGAGGUCCAAUUUCAAGCAUCUGAUAUUCAGCACAGUAUGUUUUUUUUAUUGAACAGAUGAAAAGGUGUGCACCUGUGUAAUAGUAUUAGCUAACAAUUCUUUUCCAAGCUGCCAACUGAAGAGCAGCAUGGCACCUGCCAACAUUUCCUCGGUCAAUAAAACAAGCCUACAAUUUUCACACCUUCACCAGCCAUUUAUUAUAAUAACAGCUCCUUGUGUUCACACAGCACCUCUAUUACAGACAUAAAGUAUCUCUCAAUGGUUUCAGAGAUGAGUAUAAAACAAAACAAACAAAAGAUGUCAGGAGGGCACAACAGAAAUUUGGUCAAAAUGGGGGAGCUUAGAAGAUUUUACAUUUGAUAGUGGUGUAAAUUUCUGUGAGCAUAGCUCUUUUGCACAUACUGUUGUAAGGCAGGUCACCUUCCUAUCAAUUUGAACCAGUCUUGCCAUUUUUACCCACAGAACUGCCACUGUCUGGAUGUUUUUUGGUUCUUGCACCAUUCCCUGUAAACUCUAGAGACUGUAGUACAUGAUAAUCCCAGGCGAUCAGCAGUUUCUGAGACACUCAAACUUCCUCGUCCGGCACCAAUAAUCAUUCCAUGGUCAAAGACAAUCACAUUUCUUUCCGAUGUUAGGUCUGAACAACAACUGAACGUUUUGCCAUUUCUGCAUGCUUUUAUGCAUUGUGUUGCAGCCACAUGAUUGGCUGAUUAGAUAUUUGCAUUAUUUAUUUAUUGUAAUACAGCAUUAAAUAGGCCCUUCCAGGCCAUUGAGUCACGCUACCCAGCAACCCCUGAUUUAACCCUAGCCUAAUCAUGGGACAAUUUACAAUGACCAAUUAACCUAUCAAUCGGUACUUCUUUGGACUAUGGGAGGAAACUGCAGCACACAAAGAAAACACACGCAGUCACACGGAGAAUGUACUAACUCCUUACAGGCAGCAGUGGGAGUUGAACCUGGGUUGCCUGUACUGCAAAGCAUUGUGCUAACCAUUACACUACCAUGCAUUAAUGAGCAGGUGCACCUUUAUAACUAUUAAAGUGGUCACAGAGUGUAGAAUAAAUAGUUCUGUUUGGGGAGAUGGACUUCUUUAUAAAGAAGUGCUUUAUAAAAACUUCUUUUGAUGGAGUUGAAUUAAGAUGUGCAGCACUAAGAUGCUUCAUGAUGAAUUGUGACAGGAGGAGGAGGAGGAAUAGAGAAGGCAUCUACAACUAUUGGCCAAGGUACAAACUUUGUCGUAGUUCUUGAUUGCAUUCCUCUUUUCUUUUAUAUGGGUAAACAUUUGGAUUCAAAUAGAUAUCUGGCUUUCAAUCUUUUUUCUGCAUCCAUCUCCCUUCUAGACAGUGCAUUCCUUAUAACCUUUGACAAAAAAACAACAGUGGGGAAAGAAAUGGGUGAAGUUCCAGGGGUGAAAAAAAAUCCAUAUUAAGUGAAAUAUAGUGUCACACCUGGUAAAUUUGCUGCCUUGGGUUUAAUCCUGACCUUCAGUGUUCUCUGUGUGGAGUUGACAUACUUUUCCUGCGACUGUGUGGGUUUCCUGCAGAUAUCUUAGUUUCUUCCCACAUCCCAGAGUUGUGGGGUUUAGUAGGUUAUUUGGCCACCAUAAAUUGGCUCUACGGUGUAGUGAAUGGUAGGGCAUGUUGAGGGGAAUGUGAAGAUAUUAGUGAGAUGAGUCUAAAUGUGUGCUUGAUAUGAAUUGAAGAGAACAUGCACUGUUAGGUUAUGGCUGAAGAGAAGGCAGGCUAGGAAAUGGAACUGAAGCUGGGUUGCAUAUUUCUAAAUGUGAGUUACAAAGAUGUAACUAAAUUUUGAAAUCAUGGGGCUGUGGUCAAGAGACUCACCCAAAUACAUUUGUUUGACUUCCCCUUUCCCAUAUCAGCCAUCAUGGUAAGCUCACUGAAAAUAUUAUUACUUGGUUUUAAACAUUAAAGAAUCUAGAUCUAACCCUAAUAUGUUUAAUAAUGUGAAAGCUCCGUUCAAACAGGUCUACAGAACUGAUGGGCUAAAGGAGGUUUAAUUUCCCAUUGUGACAUCUGGAUUCAGGCCCUGCUGCAGCAUCUAUUAUUAAGGACCCCCAUCACCCAGGACAUGCCCUUUUUGUUACCAUCAGGAAGGAGGUACAGAAGCCUGAAGGCACACACUCAGCGAUUCAGGAACGGCUUCUUCUUCUCUGCCAUCUGAUUCCUAAAUGGACAUUGAACACUGCCUCUCUUUUUUAAAUAUAUAUUAUUUCUGUUUUUGCGCUAUUUUAAAUUUAAAUAUUUAAUAUAUAUAUAUUUACCAUAAAUGAUUUCCUCUAUUUUUCUGUUAUCAUGUUUUGCAUUGCACUGCUGCUGCUAAGUUAACAAAUUUCCACGACAUAUGCUGGAGAUAUUAAUCUUGAUUCUGAUUCUGCAUCCUGUCUGAAUGAUGAUUAAAGUGUGAAAGAAUCAUUGUUAUGUCCUGUUCUUCCUUUGGUCAAUUGUUAACGUAGUUUCCUGUCUGUUUCAUUGAGCAGCUCAGCUGGAGUUAAGGGACCCAAAAAAGGAGUGAAAUGUUAGAGGGACUACUUCUACAGUCAUCUCCUUUUUAGUUCACAAGGUGGAGCUAUAAUAUCUUUGCUAAAGGAAGUGUAGACUGCGUCUGUAAGGGACUGUUUGAUAGGGAUUGAUUGCUGUGAUUAAUUUAUGAUUCAGUUUUGUUCCAUUACACCAUUACUAAAAUGGAAGAAUAAAAUAGAUGAACAUUUUUCCUGGGAAGAACAGUCCUUCUGCCCAAGAACUAUACUAAUGAAUAGGCCUUACACAUUUAAUCUCCAAGUGUUCAGCCUUUGUGGGGUGCACAAUAGUAAGUUCCAGGUGAGUUUGCUAAACAAAAUAAAUGUGCACAUGAGGCUGCUAAACAACAGAAGAGUCCAUGGAAUUGAAGGAAAAAUAUUAGCAGGCUUAAAAGAUUGGCUGAAUGGCAGGAGGUAAAGAGCGCAGGAAAAAAGGGGGCCUUUUCUGGUUAGCUGCCAGUAACUAGCAGUGUUCCACAGUGAUCGGUGUUGGACCACUUGUUUUCAUGUUAUAUCAUCAAUGAUUUGGAUGACAGAAUUGUUGGAUUUGUAGCCAAGUUUGGGAUGACACAAAGAUGGAUGAAGGGAUUGGUAGUGUUGAGGAAGUAGAAAGAAUGCAGAUAAAGAGAAAUGGCAAAGAAGUGACAGAUGGAAUAUAGUGUAGGAAGUUAACUGUGCACUUUAGUGGAAGGAAUAACAGCAGGCAAUUUUCUAAGCGGGGGAAAAAAAUCAGAAAUCAGUGGUGUAAAGGGACUUGGAAGGAUUCCCUUAAUUUUAACAUGUGGAUAGAGUUGGCUAUAAGGAAGGGAAAUACAAUGUUAGCAUUCAUUUCGAGAGACUUAGCAAAUGAAAGCAGGGAUGUAAUGCUGAGGCUUUAUAAAGCAGAACCUUGUGGGCCAAAGGGCCUGUACUGUGCUAAAAUACUUUAUAUUCUACGUACUAUGAAUUCUUCCAUGUUAGUGCAUUUCCUUAAGCAAGGAGACCCAGUUCUAAAUUUAGUACUACAGAUAUGUCAUGCUAUCCACAGCUGUGCAUGUAUAUAUGAUCAUCAAUAAGUGAUAUCCUGGACAGCCUUGUAUAUCACUUAUACAAAAGUUGUAUGCCACUUGGCAGGUCCAGAUGCCUUUACACAUAAAUGCACCAGAUACAUGAUUGACAGAGAACUGCGAACAAUUGUUGAAUUUUUAAUGCAUUUCUGUCAAAUUUAUGUGCAUAGUUUACAGAAGCAGUGUGCUAAGGCAUGAUUACUGAUGUAUAAAUGUACAUAAUUUCACAAGACUGUAUAUUAAAUUUCAU